UUAAUUGAAGAGUUUGAUCAUGGCUCAGAUUGAACGCUGGCGGCAGGCCUAACACAUGCAAGUCGAACGGUAACAGGAUGUGCUUGCACAUCGCUGACGAGUGGCGGACGGGUGAGUAAUGCUUGGGAACUUGCCUUUGCGAGGGGGAUAACAGUUGGAAACGACUGCUAAUACCGCAUAAUGUCUUCGGACCAAACGGGGCUUAGGCUCCGGCGCAAAGAGAGGCCCAAGUGAGAUUAGCUAGUUGGUAAGGUAAUGGCUUACCAAGGCGACGAUCUCUAGCUGGUUUGAGAGGAUGAUCAGCCACACUGGGACUGAGACACGGCCCAGACUCCUACGGGAGGCAGCAGUGGGGAAUAUUGCACAAUGGGGGAAACCCUGAUGCAGCCAUGCCGCGUGUGUGAAGAAGGCCUUCGGGUUGUAAAGCACUUUCAGUUG
RNAcentral lists this ribosomal RNA (438 nucleotides) under Lentisphaerota bacterium. Its description in RNAcentral is "bacterial SSU rRNA". It matches the Rfam family "Bacterial small subunit ribosomal RNA", at positions 1 to 442 of the family's 1533-position model. The record is from RNAcentral. Lineage: Bacteria; Pseudomonadati; Lentisphaerota.